ACCUCCCCAAACCAAAUCGCAUCUUUCUCCACACAAGUGUCCAACGUCCUCGAUGCUACAUUAGACAAGCUUCUCACAAAGUUUUGGGAGGUGGAGGAUCUACCAACCAAUGUAGUAGAAGAGUCCGAUUCCUAUUGCGAAAGCAACUUCCUACAAACGACUCCACGACUCCACCAACUACUAUCUCCCUCACCACGCAGUGAUCAAACCCGAUAGCACUACAGCGAAGCUUCGUGUGGUGUUUAACGCAUCCAGCCCAUCCGCGAACGGAACGAGCUUGAGUGACCUCCUUCACGCGGGCUACAAUCCGAUUUGACCCUUCAGAUUCGGAAAUGGCGCUACUUUCGAUAUGCCGACAUAUCGGCGACCAUUCCUAGGCGACCCUUUCGCCGACAUCACCAAAAUGUACCAUCAGAUUUGGGUGGAUCCAGAACAACCUUGUUUCGAAACGCAGAGGGGGAAAUUCGUGAUUACGAUUUGAAACCCGUCACUGCGCCCUCUUUCUCGCCAUUCGAGUUCUUCAACAGCUUUCCAACGACGUUUAAUCGCAAUUCCCUAGGGCUAGUCAUAUCAUUCGGCACUUUAUGUACGUCGACGAUGUCCUAGCCGGCGCUGACUCCACCCAGGAGGCUAAGCUAGCGCUGUAGGAAACGCAGGACGUACGCGCGGACGUACGCGCGACCGCAAAUUACAAGCCGCCCUCAGUUCGGCAUGUUUUCCGCUACGAAAGUGAACAGCCAACCACAAGGACGUAUUGGCCGAGAUUCCGAGUGGCCACCUCCUCCAUAAUGAUUUCCUGGAGAUUGACGCACAGAGCACGGCAAAGACUCUCGGAAUUCGUUGGAAGGCCACCUCCGACGAGUUCUUCUUUGUUCCUCCCGUGCUCUCGCUUACGCCAUCCUACACCAAGCGAGAAGUCCUAUCGCAGAUAGCAGGGUGGCUGGCACCGUUCAUAGUCCGCUCCAAGAUCUUCAUGCAGGAAAUUUGGUUGCAGGAACUGGAGUGGGACGAGAACCUUCCGAACGAACUGUGUCAAUACUGGCAAGCCUUCCUGCUUAGCUACUCCUGUCUCACCACGAUCCGUAUCCCAAGAUGGAUUGGUUCCCGACCAUCCGUUAAGGUGGAGCACCAUGGGUUCUGUGAUGCCUCGGAAAUGACUUACGGCGCCGCGAUUUAUGUACGCGUUGAGAUGGACCAGCGUACCGACGUGCAUCUAUUGACAGCUAAGACACGAGUUGCGCCCGUAAAAACCGUAUCGCUUCCCCGGUUAGAGCUGUGCGGUGGCGUGCUUCUAGCCGAAAUGGCGACGGCUAUCCUGCCAAGUAUGCCGACGACAGGGUCUACCGUUUACUACUGGACAGAUACCACAAUCGUCGUCGUCUGGUUGAACAAGCCUGCAUGCCUCAUGUUCGCUCCGAGCACAAUCCGGCGGCCUUAGCCAGUCGGGGGGUUUCUCUACAGGAUCUGGUUGACAACCGUCUCUGGUGGUAUGGGCCCGCUUGGUUACAGCAACCACGUUCUCAAUGGCCGCUCCAAGAUCAGGAAACCCCCGUCAUAAACCUAGAGCAGCUGGCUGUGAAAGUCCAUUUCACAACCAGCCCAUCCGAAGAUAUCCUCGAGCGAUUCUCCACGCUUGAAAAAAGUCUGCGAGUCCGCGCGUACGUCCUGCGUUUCCUACAGCGCUGCCGAAAACUACCGUACGCACAGGAUACCCAUCCUACAAGCGGAGAAGUUAACGAGGCUGAACGAACUCUUGACCUAGAAACUCAGCUGAACACUCAACACUGAAUUUGAAUCCGUUCAUGGAUCAAUAUGGGGUCAUACGCUUCUGCGACCGUGUAUCAACGGCGCAAGCACUGAAGGAUGACGAGCGAAAUUCUUCCGUAUAGUUGUCGUUUGUCGCGACUCCUCACGCAGUUCACACACCGGAUCACUCUUCACAGAGGCAGCCAAUUGAUGGUGCCAUUUAUCCGAUCCAAGUAUUGGAUUCCACGGAUUCCGAAGCUGAUGAAGGGUGUCGUGAACUCUUGCAAAGUGUGCAUUAUCCACAAAAAAAAGUUGCAAACUGAUGAGGGAUCUCCGCAGGGAGCGAACUUCAUUCUCCCGACCUUUCACGCACACCGGAAUUGACUACGCCGGUCCUUUUGAAAUCCGAAACUACUACCCCGAAGGGGGGGGGGGGGGGGGGGGGGGGGGGGGGGGGGGGGGGGGGGGGGGGGGGGGGAGUUAAUGGCGACUGUGGAGCCAGAAGUUAACGGGUGACCUCACAUCGAUCAUAAAUCGAUAGCAACAUCUAAAGGCACUCAACCAACAGUUCUGUCAUAGAUGGCACAAGCGGAACAAAUGGCAAACGCAAACGCCAGAUUGGUGAUAUGGUCGUCGUCAAGGAGGACAACCUUCCGUCUAAAUAAUGGCGUCUCUGACGAAUCCAGUCCGUGUACCCCGGCGCCGACGAUCGGGUCCGUGUAGUCGACAUCCUCAGUGCACGGGGGUCCUUAAAAUGCCGGUCGCAAAGGUCGCUCUUCUGUCCAUAGAACUUCCUCGCUCCAUCCAAAAUUAACGAAGAGCGUGCGUGUCCCCCGCUUCCUAUCUCGCUACUAACCCUUCUCCGAUUCUUUUUUUUUCUUUUCUUUGGCCAUAGUUUUCCGUACUCAGAGAUGGCUCCACGGUCUCGUGACACCCGCACUUCGGAGAGUAGACGUUCUCGAGGUAUUAACUCCUACCGUUGCAGAGUCUGCUCCGGAAUCCAUCCGCUACGUGCCUGCCGAAGCUUUCUUCCCCUAAACGCCGAGAAGAGACUCCGAGCCGUCUUGAUUACCAAGUACAAGUAACAAGAUGUUGAGAGUAGCAGCAGCGAGUUAGCAGCAGGCUGCUACACUCCCUACACUCUCCUUCUUGCCUGGCGCUCGCGAGCUGGCUUGCAGCCAUUCGC
This 2932-nucleotide long non-coding RNA is filed under the name Drosophila guanche. Lineage: Eukaryota; Metazoa; Arthropoda; Insecta; Diptera; Drosophilidae. The record is from RNAcentral.